Molecule: ribosomal RNA, 406 nt
Filed under: uncultured bacterium
Lineage: Bacteria
Description: partial 16S ribosomal RNA
Rfam family: Bacterial small subunit ribosomal RNA
Source: RNAcentral
AUUGAACGCUGGCGGCAGGCCUAACACAUGCAAGUCGAACGAGUGGCGGACGGGAGAGUAAUGUAUGGGAAACUGCCCGAUGGAGGGGGAUAACUACUGGAAACGGUAGCUAAUACCGCAUACCAUCGGAUGUGCCCAUAGGGGAUUAGCUAGUAGGUGGGGUAACGGCGCACCUAGGCGACGAUCCCUAGCUGGUCUGAGAGGAUGACCAGGCACACUGGAACUGAGAAACGGUCCAGGCUCCUGCGGGAGGCAGCAGUGGGGAAUAUUGCACAAUGGGAGCAAGCCUGAUGCAGCCAUGCCGCGUGUAUGAUGAAGGCCUUCGGGUUGUAAAGUACUUUCGGCGGGGAGGCGUUACUCGCAGAAGAAGCGCCGGCUAACUCCGUGCCAGCAGCCGCGGUAAUAC